GGGAGGCCAAGUGGAUUUGUGCCAUCUCCCAGGGAGUCACAGCCUGUUCGAUGUCCUCGUCAUUCGCAACAUCACUAAAAUGGCUUGUCUCGGCUCUUCUGCCUUCAUCGUGGCAACGAACCUGUGAUUAGGAAAUGCCAGUGCUUCUCCAUCCCAACCCUCACUGACACAAAUGACUGCAUCUGUGUUUGAAUAAUAACAUCUCCCGUGAUGGCCUGAUCUUGGCAGUAAGGCACUGCUCCGGCAUCUGAAAGCCCAUCAGAGAGUUGGAGAAAACACCCCCAGAGAAAGAAAAGCAGUGCAGUCGAGAGCAGGGGAAGGGGUGCUAACGACAGACCACAGCGAUGCCUCACUUUGCUCUGGAUGCAGCCUUGUCCUGAAAAUCACAGUUCUCUUCCUGUUGGACCUGAGCCGCAUCCCAGCGUUACCUGUAGAGUCACCCCGCUCCAGGAGCCUGAACUGAGUCCACACACUGAACUCACAGACCUGCAGGGGGAGAUGGAAGAAAGAAAAUCAACAGGUUUUGAGGAUGAGAAGAACCCAAGUAAUGGCAGAGGAGGUGCUGUGCAAGAGAGAUUGCUGCAGUGGCAUCCAGGACUGUCAGUGGAAGUGGGGAAUGACAUGACACCACCUUUCGGACACCCAACUGGCAAGAGGUAAAAGAGGAAGGGACAGUCAGCCCACUGUAUACAAUGACAUGCAAGACCUAACUCUCACGUUGGUUCAACCCAAACCAGCGAGAAGCAAUCUAUGGUCAUACUGAGUCUUGGGCCCAGUCUAAACGGUGGAGCUUUGGGAUACAAAUCUCUCAAAUGCAACACAAUGGAAAGAGUUUUUGUUCAGGAGUUAGAAGAGGGAGUAUGUGGGGAUGUUGGGUUUCCUCACUUUGGAGUUCCAUCGUGGCUCAGCAGAAACAAAUCUGUCUAGCAUCCAUGAGGUCACAGGUUCAAUCUCUGGCCUCGCUCAGUGGGUUAAGUAUCUGUCAUUGCUCCAAACUGCACUCUAGGUCACAGAUGCGUUUUGUAUCUGUCUUGCUGUGCC
RNAcentral lists this long non-coding RNA (1041 nucleotides) under Sus scrofa (pig). RNAcentral's name for it is "lncRNA (ENSSSCG00070005804.1)". Lineage: Eukaryota; Metazoa; Chordata; Mammalia; Artiodactyla; Suidae. The record is from RNAcentral.